Molecule: transfer RNA, 55 nt
Filed under: Ascaridia columbae
Lineage: Eukaryota; Metazoa; Nematoda; Chromadorea; Rhabditida; Ascaridiidae
Description: tRNA-Ser
Source: RNAcentral
AAACUAUAUUCUUAGAACUUUGAAAGUUUUAAUGGAGGAAUUUUCUCGUAGUUUA